CCUACGUGAGGCAGCAGUAGGGAAUCUUCCACAAUGGGCGAAAGCCUGAUGGAGCAACGCCGCGUGGGUGAAGAAGGUCUUCGGAUCGUAAAACCCUGUUGUUAGAGAAGAAAGUGCGUGAGAGUAACUGUUCACGUUUCGACGGUAUCUAACCAGAAAGCCACGGCUAACUACGUGCCAGCAGCCGCAGUAAUACGUAGGUGGCAAGCGUUAUCCGGAUUUAUUGGGCGUAAAGGGAACGCAGGCGGUCUUUUAAGUCUGAUGUGAAAGCCUUCGGCUUAACCGGAGUAGUGCAUUGGAAACUGGGAGACUUGAGUGCAGAAGAGGAGAGUGGAACUCCAUGUGUAGCGGUGAAAUGCGUAGAUAUAUGGAAGAACACCAGUGGCGAAAGCGGCUCUCUGGUCUGUAACUGACGCUGAGGUUCGAAAGCGUGGGUAGCAAACAGGAUUAGAUACCCGAGUAGUC
RNAcentral lists this ribosomal RNA (465 nucleotides) under uncultured bacterium. Its description in RNAcentral is "partial 16S ribosomal RNA". It matches the Rfam family "Bacterial small subunit ribosomal RNA", at positions 338 to 795 of the family's 1533-position model. The record is from RNAcentral.